RNAcentral lists this long non-coding RNA (2154 nucleotides) under Lactuca sativa (garden lettuce). RNAcentral's name for it is "long non-coding RNA (LSAT_LNC003001)". The record is from RNAcentral. Lineage: Eukaryota; Viridiplantae; Streptophyta; Magnoliopsida; Asterales; Asteraceae.
AGAGAUGGAAGUAAAUUUGUGAGCGUAAUUAAUUUGUGCCUUUAAUCAAAUUUACAUCAAAGAACCAGAAUUUAUAAAGUAACUUUCCAAGGUUUACAUAGAAGACUUACAGUCAUUGAAAGCAGAAAUAGACAAAUCUACUUGAAUCAUAAACAUCGAUUGUCAUGCCAGAGUAUCAAAUCAAACAAUAGCUUUAUAUCCGAUUAGUCAAACUGUACAAAUAUCAUUUCGUCUGAGAACAUGAUGAAAUUAUGCUUCAGAUCGUAGCAAAUUUCAUCAAAAAUAAACUAUCGACAUUGAAUUGAAAGAAAAGUAACACGGAUAAGUAACAAUUGCAAGAAGAUUUAACAUGUAAUACACAUAUAACCUAUGACAAAGUCGUGUAUGCUCUAUUUUUUCCAUGAUAUUAUGACCGAGUUCCCAUCGAAGAACGAUGUGGAGAAGAUUAAAGAGAAGGUCUCGAUCAUCAUCAUAGCUCUGAAAUGAAAUUUAAGGGAUUACAAUCAUGUAAAUAAAUAUCAAACCGCUGAUUGUUAGGGAUUACAAUCAAUCCCACUUAAUCAGGGGUUAAGAUUUUGAUAUUGUUGGUAAUUCCAAUUUGAUAUAUUUGGUAAUUCCAGAUUACAUGCAUUCUAAAAAUCAUAUUUGGUUUUUGAAUUUAAAAAUAAAAUCCCAUAAAAUUACACGUGUCAAGUUCUGUUUGCACCAACCCCAUUCAUUUACAGUUCCAUCAAAUUCUUGAAUCAUCAAGUUUUCAAUUUUUGUUUGCUCUGAAGGGUCCUGUGGUGCAUUUUGAUUUUUGACAUAGAAUCUGAUACUAAAUGAUUGUAGAGGUAAAUACAAAAUGAUGGUGAGAACAUACCUUUCCAAUUAAAGAAGGUUCGAUUAUUGAGUUGACAUUCUCCACAGCCUGACUAGUCAAUAAUGACAUGUAAAGUUUAGUUUAGUGGGGAUUAUUACUUAUUAGGGAGUAAAAUCAUAUGAAGAACACAUGCGUUUAGGAACAAGAGUUUUACCAACCUUCAAGACACCUUUCCAAGAUAGUCAGACCCUUAAUAUCUUAAUUCUAGGGCUUCAUAUAUACUUGUGAAUACAAAAUAGAAAAAGAUAAAACAGUUAUAAGCUAUAAGUCAAAACAUCCAUGAUUGUAAUAAAAGAAUUUGUAAGAAAGUAUGUUUGUAUAUUAUACAUGUUGAAGCACCGCUGGGUACUGUAGGUCUGGCCAAUGUUCCAUUAGAGAGCAUAACAUCAAUUUGAAAUUAUUAAUUUCAGUUCCCAAUCGGUUUGGUUUAACAAUACUCGGCAAUAUCAAAAUCGAACAUACAAAACAUUCGGACAGUUUCCAUAGUCCAUAACAAACAUCCAAGGAGUCGAUAUACUAUUGAAUUUUUUAAACAGAUCAUAUGAAGUAUAUGCUCUUGUUUCCAGCAAGGUUUGCAAUGUUCUGUGUGUGUGUGUUAUUUAUUAAGACCAAAAAUAAGUCAAAUAACUUGUAAAACUUCAUAUCAAAGAGACAAAGAGAUCAGCUUGAAUAACAGAGAGAAUGAAACAGAAUUAUAACUACAAAGUUACAAUUUGCAUCAAUCUUUAUGAGCAGAAACAGAAAAAUUCAUCGAGGGUGAUGAAUAACAUAAAGAAUGGAAAGGAAUCCAUCCUUAAUAUGCAUAAUCGAAAGAAGCACAUUGUGAAUUACAAAGAAAUCAAACCUCCGAAAUCUCGUGACCAACAUUCUGAACGUGAAUGACUUUAGAAGGCUCUGUCAUUUUAAAUUAUCCUGAAAAAAGAAAUUGAACUGAUUCAUGAAAAUGGUUCCACGUACAAUAUAUGAAGCAAUCAAUUCUAAGAUCCAAAAGAAAAAACGGUUGAUGAUUGCUAAUCAAGCAAAACAAAAGAUUUUGGAAGUAAAACCCUAAAUUUCCAUGGGGAAUUGUAAUAAGAUAACGUGAAAAAAUCAAACUGAAUCUUCUUGGAAGGUGAAAACCACAGAUGUAAAGGAGUGAGAACCGUAAAUCUGAAUAAAGGGGAAUCGCACCUGAAGAUGAUGAAUCUGAAAAACAAAAUGACGAUGUGUAUCUAUUCGAUGAUGACGUUUAGUUGUGUGUAGAGAAAAGUGAGGAAUGAAAUUGGGUAUGAAACGUAAGAGGUAAGUUGAGA